UUGGACUGGAGCAGCGAUGCUCCCAGGGCCCGAGAGCAGUUUCGGGGAGAGGGGACGUGUCUCGAGGCUUCAGAACGCCGCACGCUGAAGUGGAGAAGUGCGCGGCCCUCUUUCCCACCCGGCUGCGGCUUCCGCCAUUUCUAGACACGGCGUAGCUUGUCAUGAGCCCAGUGUCUUGACAGUCGCUGGUCCCUCUACCUGGAAAGUUGGCCUACCGCCCCCAAGCUUCCGAAGAGCUGCUGGUCGUCCAGAUGAGACACUGCCCUUGUUGAGGCACCCGCGCCGUCGGAGAGCUCUCAUCGCCCCGUUUCAACAGCGGCCUCCAUCACCUAACCAGUUUUCCCCCAGGCUGCUCCUAAAGCUGAGACUUCCCAGGACUAAUGUUUAACCCUGUUCUGUUCCACCGCUUUCAGUGGUCUGAUCCGGGCUUGUGGCUUUCAGUACCGUUCUACACUGGACCAAUCUCAAGUAUUUGUCUGCAGCUUUGAUCCGUCUGUGAACUCCAUUUUCAUGCAAACAGAAAGGGCAGGCCAGAAGAAGACUGAGUCUGCCACGAGAGCUGAGAUCUAGUAAUUUCACAUGGUGCUUGCAAGAACUGGCCGCCGGUGGUAUCAUGGCGACCCGGAACCCCCCCUCCCCAAGACUAUGAAAGUGAUGACGA
Long non-coding RNA from Tupaia belangeri chinensis (Chinese tree shrew), 661 nucleotides. RefSeq lists it as uncharacterized. Lineage: Eukaryota; Metazoa; Chordata; Mammalia; Scandentia; Tupaiidae. The record is from RefSeq and is a predicted model, not a curated record. The transcript has 3 exons.